GAUGAACGCUGGCGGCGUGCCUAAUACAUGCAAGUCGAGCGAACGGACGAGAAGCUUGCUUCUCUGAUGUUAGCGGCGGACGGGUGAGUAACACGUGGAUAACCUACCUAUAAGACUGGGAUAACUUCGGGAAACCGGAGCUAAUACCGGAUAAUAUUUUGAACCGCAUGGUUCAAAAGUGAAAGACGGUCUUGCUGUCACUUAUAGAUGGAUCCGCGCUGCAUUAGCUAGUUGGUAAGGUAACGGCUUACCAAGGCAACGAUGCAUAGCCGACCUGAGAGGGUGAUCGGCCACACUGGAACUGAGACACGGUCCAGACUCCUACGGGAGGCAGCAGUAGGGAAUCUUCCGCAAUGGGCGAAAGCCUGACGGAGCAACGCCGCGUGAGUGAUGAAGGUCUUCGGAUCGUAAAACUCUGUUAUUAGGGAAGAACAUAUGUGUAAGUAACUGUGCACAUCUUGACGGUACCUAAUCAGAAAGCCACGGCUAACUACGUGCCAGCAGCCGCGGUAAUACGUAGGUGGCAAGCGUUAUCCGGAAUUAUUGGGCGUAAAGCGCGCGUAGGCGGUUUUUUAAGUCUGAUGUGAAAGCCCACGGCUCAACCGUGGAGGGUCAUUGGAAACUGGAAAACUUGAGUGCAGAAGAGGAAAGUGGAAUUCCAUGUGUAGCGGUGAAAUGCGCAGAGAUAUGGAGGAACACCAGUGGCGAAGGCGACUUUCUGGUCUGUAACUGACGCUGAUGUGCGAAAGCGUGGGGAUCAAACAGGAUUAGAUACCCUGGUAGUCCACGCCGUAAACGAUGAGUGCUAAGUGUUAGGGGGUUUCCGCCCCUUAGUGCUGCAGCUAACGCAUUAAGCACUCCGCCUGGGGAGUACGACCGCAAGGUUGAAACUCAAAGGAAUUGACGGGGACCCGCACAAGCGGUGGAGCAUGUGGUUUAAUUCGAAGCAACGCGAAGAACCUUACCAAAUCUUGACAUCCUUUGACAACUCUAGAGAUAGAGCCUUCCCCUUCGGGGGACAAAGUGACAGGUGGUGCAUGGUUGUCGUCAGCUCGUGUCGUGAGAUGUUGGGUUAAGUCCCGCAACGAGCGCAACCCUUAAGCUUAGUUGCCAUCAUUAAGUUGGGCACUCUAAGUUGACUGCCGGUGACAAACCGGAGGAAGGUGGGGAUGACGUCAAAUCAUCAUGCCCCUUAUGAUUUGGGCUACACACGUGCUACAAUGGACAAUACAAAGGGCAGCGAAACCGCGAGGUCAAGCAAAUCCCAUAAAGUUGUUCUCAGUUCGGAUUGCAGUCUGCAACUCGACUACAUGAAGCUGGAAUCGCUAGUAAUCGUAGAUCAGCAUGCUACGGUGAAUACGUUCCCGGGUCU
RNAcentral lists this ribosomal RNA (1372 nucleotides) under uncultured bacterium. Its description in RNAcentral is "bacterial SSU rRNA". It matches the Rfam family "Bacterial small subunit ribosomal RNA", at positions 28 to 1381 of the family's 1533-position model. The record is from RNAcentral.